This 301-nucleotide ribosomal RNA is filed under the name uncultured bacterium. Its description in RNAcentral is "partial 16S ribosomal RNA". It matches the Rfam family "Bacterial small subunit ribosomal RNA", at positions 509 to 807 of the family's 1533-position model. The record is from RNAcentral.
CAGUCGCCGCGGUAAUACGUAGGGUGCAAGCGUUAAUCGGAAUUACUGGGCGUAAAGCGUGCGCAGGCGGUUCGCUAAGACAGAUGUGAAAUCCCCGGGCUUAACCUGGGAACUGCAUUUGUGACUGGCGGGCUAGAGUAUGGCAGAGGGGGGUAGAAUUCCACGUGUAGCAGUGAAAUGCGUAGAGACGUGGAGGAAUACCGAUGGCGAAGGCAGCCCCCUGGGCCAAUACUGACGCUCAUGCACGAAAGCGUGGGGAGCAAACAGGAUUAGAUACCCGCGUAGUCCCUGUCUCUUAUAC